This 113-nucleotide small nuclear RNA is filed under the name Zalophus californianus (California sea lion). Its description in RNAcentral is "U4 spliceosomal RNA (ENSZCAG00015007348.1)". It matches the Rfam family "U4 spliceosomal RNA". From Rfam's summary of the family: U4 small nuclear RNA (U4 snRNA) is a component of the major U2-dependent spliceosome. The structure of U4 snRNA from yeast and human has been reported. U4 snRNA presents a k-turn RNA motif in the 5p-SL related to recognition of Snu13 protein. The record is from RNAcentral. Lineage: Eukaryota; Metazoa; Chordata; Mammalia; Carnivora; Otariidae.
AGCUUUGCACAGUGGCAGUAUGGUAGCCAGUGAGGUUUAUCUGAGGCACGAUUAUUGCUAAUUGAAAACUUUUCAGCAGGUACUCAAUAAAUAUUCAGUAAUUCAGUAAAAAA